Molecule: ribosomal RNA, 434 nt
Filed under: uncultured Ruminococcus sp.
Lineage: Bacteria; Bacillati; Bacillota; Clostridia; Eubacteriales; Oscillospiraceae
Description: partial 16S ribosomal RNA
Rfam family: Bacterial small subunit ribosomal RNA
Source: RNAcentral
ACGGGAGGCAGCAGUGGGGGAUAUUGCACAAUGGGGGAAACCCUGAUGCAGCGACGCCGCGUGAGUGAAGAAGUAUUUCGGUAUGUAAAGCUCUAUCAGCAGGGAAGAAAAUGACGGUACCUGACUAAGAAGCUCCGGCUAAAUACGUGCCAGCAGCCGCGGUAAUACGUAUGGAGCAAGCGUUAUCCGGAUUUACUGGGUGUAAAGGGAGCGUAGACGGCGAGGCAAGUCUGAUGUGAAAGCCAUGGGCUCAACCCAUGAACUGCAUUGGAAACUGUCUUGCUUGAGUGUCGGAGAGGUAAGCGGAAUUCCUAGUGUAGCGGUGAAAUGCGUAGAUAUUAGGAGGAACACCAGUGGCGAAGGCGGCUUACUGGACAAUAACUGACGUUGAGGCUCGAAAGCGUGGGGAGCAAACAGGAUUAGAUACCCUGGUA